AACGAACGCUGGCGGCAUGCCUAACACAUGCAAGUCGAACGAGACCUUCGGGUCUAGUGGCGCACGGGUGCGUAACGCGUUGGAACCUGCCCUUAGGUUCGGAUUAACUCCCCGAAAGGGGUGCUAAUACCGGAUAAUGUCUUCGGACCAAAGGUUUAUCGCCUUUGGAUGGGCCCGCGUUGGAUUAGCUAGUUGGUAGGGUAAAAGCCUACCAAGGCGACGAUACAUAGCUGGUUUGAGAGGAUGAUCAGCCACACUGGGACUGAGACACGGCCCAGACUACUACGGGAGGCAGCAGUGGGGAAUAUUGGACAAUGGGCGAAAGCCUGAUCCAGCAAUGACGGGUGAGUGAUGAAGGCCUUAGGGUUGUAAAGCUAUUUUACCCGGGAUGAUAAUGACAGUACCGGGAGAAUAAGCUCCGGCUAACUCCGUG
RNAcentral lists this ribosomal RNA (433 nucleotides) under uncultured bacterium. RNAcentral's name for it is "partial 16S ribosomal RNA". It matches the Rfam family "Bacterial small subunit ribosomal RNA", at positions 29 to 507 of the family's 1533-position model. The record is from RNAcentral.